Molecule: ribosomal RNA, 253 nt
Filed under: uncultured bacterium
Lineage: Bacteria
Description: partial 16S ribosomal RNA
Rfam family: Bacterial small subunit ribosomal RNA
Source: RNAcentral
UACGUAGGGUGCGAGCGUUAAUCGGAAUUACUGGGCGUAAAGCGUGCGCAGGCGGUUCGUUAAGUUCGAUGUGAAAGCCCCGGGCUCAACCUGGGAAUUGCAUUGGAAACUGGCGGGCUUGAGUGUGGCAGAGGGGGGUGGAAUUCCACGUGUAGCAGUGAAAUGCGUAGAGAUGUGGAGGAACACCAAUGGCGAAGGCAGCUUGCUGGGACGGUACUGACGCUGAGGCGCGAAAGCGUGGGGAGCAAACAGG